CAGUCGAGCGGUCCUGGUUCUCUCUGUUCCUUGUUUUGAUACUCGACCGCGGGUAACCCGCAAUUGUUCAGCCCCUGUGUUACACAGUUGGCCCAAGUUAUCGCGUAAUGUUCCCCGACGUUGGCCAGGCUUUCAAACGGAACGAGGACUCCGUCCUAUGUUCUUCAAAUGAAGAUCACCGAUGGCAUCCAAAUUACGAUCAAGCAGUAUUUUUGAAACUACAAGUCGCCAAACCGGCUGGAUGUCACCAUCUCAUGCCGCGCCCUCUACGUAUUCAUCAAGCAUACAGAUCUACCGGUUACUGUUAUUGCUAGUCGAGCGGAACCUAUUCCGGAUUGAAUGAGGAAAUAAAUGGUCGUGGCGGGACUUCGCGAAGGUUUCCGGAGUUUCUCGCCUUUCCUUUCUGGCCCUUCGGUCGUUUAUCUCGCAGAAUAAGGCGCACGAAAGGAACCAGGAAAGAAAGUAAAAUAUCAUAGGAAACUGU
Varroa destructor (honeybee mite) is the source of this 484-nucleotide long non-coding RNA. RefSeq lists it as uncharacterized. NCBI's taxonomy places the organism in Eukaryota, Metazoa, Arthropoda, Arachnida, Mesostigmata, Varroidae. The record is from RefSeq and is a predicted model, not a curated record.